UUCACUUUCGAUUUGAUGUUUAAUUCAAUGAGAAGCUUUAUACAUUGAGAGCAAAGAAUUUUAACAAUAUCGUUCGAAUGUAGGCUACAUUUGUGAAGGUUUUGCUCGUAUGGAAGGCGAAAGGGAGAAAUCUCCCAUUAAUGCCGAGCAACAAGAGGAGAAUAUCGAUUCUGUGUCCAGCGAUGGCCAAGGAACGUUUGGGCAGCCGUCGUUUUCGACAUCUGCGUUGAGUUCUAAACCUGUGAGUCCCGGGAAUCAGAUGGAUGAAAGAGCUUUAAGUGGUACGUACUAUAAAUUAGGAUUGAGGAAUAUCGUCAUUACAUAACUAACGCACAGGUCGACAUGAGCUUAUAAUUUGGAUUUCAGAUUUUCAGUUGUCUUGCCUGGGCAGAUGCUCUUUAUAGAAUAGCCAUUUGCAGAAUGCUCUUUAUAGAAUAGCCAUUUGCUUUAUAGAAUAGCCAGAAUAGCCAUUUGCAGAAUUCAGUAAAAUCGUUUGCGGAAAUCCUUUUCCCAUAAAUCUCAAUUCAAUUCACAUGGAAAUUAAGUUCUGAACAUAUUAAAUUUUACUGCAAAAUUGUUGGUUUUCACUCAC
Paramuricea clavata is the source of this 592-nucleotide non-coding RNA. The record is from the annotation of a GenBank genome assembly. NCBI's taxonomy places the organism in Eukaryota, Metazoa, Cnidaria, Anthozoa, Malacalcyonacea, Plexauridae.